Molecule: long non-coding RNA, 348 nt
Organism: Pyrgilauda ruficollis (rufous-necked snowfinch)
Lineage: Eukaryota; Metazoa; Chordata; Aves; Passeriformes; Passeridae
Exons: 3
Source: RefSeq, a predicted model, not a curated record
GGGAGGAGGAAAACGUGGCAAAAUGUGUGCAGGGGGAGAAAACACUGCAUUGGCACAGCUUCAGCAGGGAAUUGCACAGGGCAGGGCACAGCUGAUGGUCACAACUUGGACCUGAUCCUGUCAUUCAUUUUAAUGGGGAUCAAAAGGCCACUGAGAUUACCAAGCUUUCAACUUUCAGCUCCCCCAGGACCUGGAGGCUGAGGAGGUCCUGUAUUGCUUUGGCCAAGCAAUCAAAGUUUAUAGAGACUUCUCAGUAGGAUGGGUGGAAGAAACACAGAGAGCAGGAAGCAACUGCUGAAACUGCCAGUGAUUAAAAUGCAAUAAAAUGUUUGCCUUCUGCUGCUGAGC